Molecule: long non-coding RNA, 851 nt
Filed under: Struthio camelus australis
Lineage: Eukaryota; Metazoa; Chordata; Aves; Struthioniformes; Struthionidae
Description: lncRNA (ENSSCUG00000012964.1)
Source: RNAcentral
UGCAUUUUCACCUACUCUGUGUGAUCCUCCAUUUAAACUAGAGAGGCAGCAUCUAAAAGCACCACCCAGGCUGGCAGAGAGGAGCUAUGUAAGAUGGAAGGAUACAGGGAAGUCUCUGCAAGGAUUAAAGCUUAUCAGUGGGAAUAAUAAAUUCCCUAGCCGGGGAGUUAUCUUGAUGCUAGGCUACAGAGCAUGACUUUCCCCACGGCACCUGUCCCCGAAAUGGCACAGUGUGAAUGCUGAGCGCGUGCAAUUGCGAAAGAGAGUGUGGCAGACGGCUCCUGAGAGCUGCCGCUUCCAGCAUGCUCGAUCCUUUCCUGGCUCCUGCUCCUGCUGCUGUUCCUCCUCCCCUGGCUGGGGCGCAGGAAUGCAGCAAAGGAAACUCCCGCAGCGAGCGCCCUGAUGGGGGGAUCCAGCUUCCCUUUCCCAGACACACAGCUGACCCGGACGGCGUUCCCGGACGAAGGCAAGUGGAAAGCUCCCUUGAGCAGCGCGGGGCAUGCUUUGGUGACCUUGUGCAAACACACGGCUUCAGCAAGGUAAUGUGUUUAGCUAAUGGCGAUGACACCUCCUUGCAGUUUUUUCCUCCUUUUCAGAAGAAAAGUGGUCAAGCAAGCUCCGUUUUCUCCAAUUUUUUUUUCAUGCACUGGUUUCUAUAAAGACUUAGAAUGGUCCAUAAAAAUUUCGGAAAUAUAUAUUGAAAAUAUAGUUGGAGAAGGAAGAUCUAUAUUCCUGGAGAAGGGUAGAAGAAAGAUUCAUUAGAGGAUAUCUCUAGCAUUCACUUAAUUUUAUUAUUUUAAGUGACUAUUACCUUCAUUUUGCUUUCUGUUGCAUUCUAGCACUUAUUUAAU